This 20-nucleotide non-coding RNA is filed under the name Rattus norvegicus (Norway rat). Lineage: Eukaryota; Metazoa; Chordata; Mammalia; Rodentia; Muridae. The record is from RNAcentral.
UCUGUAUGGCUUUGAGCAAG